Rana temporaria (common frog) is the source of this 3606-nucleotide long non-coding RNA. RefSeq lists it as uncharacterized. NCBI's taxonomy places the organism in Eukaryota, Metazoa, Chordata, Amphibia, Anura, Ranidae. The transcript has 2 exons. The record is from RefSeq and is a predicted model, not a curated record.
ACAUUUUUUUUUCCAGAAAUACCAAAACAAAAUCAACACCAACGUCGCUGUUGCAGGGAUUACAAAUACGCCAAAAAAUAUCGCUCGCAGAUUGUCAGCGCUCUAGAAACCAACCCUGUCACCAGACGUGGCCAAUUACAGCACAAGUUCGAGCAAAUGAUAAUCCUGAUGGAGGACGAUAUCUACACGUGUAGCAGCGAGGCCUAGCAGAGCCCGGGUGGGGGGAGCCUACAACAAUUUAAUUGGCUUAGAGAACUCUGAGUCGCCCCAGAAAGGCGGUCCUCCGAAAACGACAUGAACCACAAUUGCACUCUGCAAGCCAACGGACAGCUCAGCCUCCAAAAAAAAUAAACUUGGCUGACCUAGAUGGCUUGGGCGAGGAUAGGACGCUGGGCGGCUUGUGGCUCCUUUUGUUACACCCAAUGGGUCUUGGACGUUCUUUGGGUCAGUCGCAGGAUUGGCCGACUGUAGUCAUGCGACACAUUUACCGCAGACGGGAUUUUGCACUGUAGACGGAACUCCUUGUCCUGUUUAGAACUGGCAUAGACCACGAACAGGACGGCACUGCAUAGGGGACAACCACUUGCUAAAGAUGAGUUAAUGCGCUAGCUUGUCCGCCGCGAAGCUUGAAUGCCGCGGCAGCACCCGGCUACACCGCCCACCGCUCUGCGAGUGCCUUAAUACCAGCUGUCUCAGGAUAUUAUAAGGGAGUACAGUGCUCUCUACAGAAACCUGCGUCUCCGUGGGGGAAUUUUGAAACGCACGGAGUGCCGGGAGUGAGCGCAUUUCGAGUCCAUUCCAGAGAGUUCUAAAAAAAAAAUGAAAUAUGUUUUUGUAUAAUGCACUUUUUUUCCUUUAAGUAAUUAGACAAUCCUUGGUAUAGAUUUGCCACCAAUCCUCUGCUUCCUCAUCAGCUUGCAAAACACGGUGGGGGCUUUAAACUAGCAGCAUGUGAUAGGAGAACCUGUCCUGAUGGCAAUACGGGUGCUGCCAUCAUCAUGUUCAUCACCUGGCGAGGCAAUUAACCUGGAACAAGCAUGUAGCCAGUGAAGAUACCUCAGCUGCUAUCAAUUUCUUCAAAACAUGGGCAAUGGUAGUCAUCCAUGUGUCAGUCAUGACAGGUUCUCACCUUCAAAUGAUCUAAACUGGGGAAAUGUACAACCUCAGAGAGAUUUAAAAGAGAACGCUAGAAAAAAAAAAAAAUAUUCAUUUAAGAUAUCUCCAGCAAAGCUGUGCUUCUAUACCUUGUUAACAACUAGCCUUUACACACAAUGCAGUUCAGUCCAACAGCAGCCGACUGUAAAACCGUUGGCAGUAGCAGCACAUAAAAGUGCAAUUGACCUGCAGUUCUUUAUUACGUUUUCUGAAGGUGGUAACCGACCUCAGAGUUACUUGAGGUCAUCAUAAAUAAUUACUGUGACAAGUAUUAGGGCUCCUUCACACUUGUGCAGGACCAUUAACAUACUCGAGUAUGUUAAUGGAACUGAUCCAUGUGUGGGGUGUUCCAGUACCAUUCAUUGUGAAAGGCAUCCCAAUUCAGCGUAGAGGGCAAGGCAUAAGGAACCUUAAGGUCACCGGCUUUUUGUUUACAUUUAGUUUGGUGCAUUGGGUGCCCACUCAUAAUGAGUGGACUGCAUUCAUUGGCCACCCAUUUGGAAUCAGUGGACUGCAUUCAUUGGCCACCCAUUUAGAAUGAGGGAACUGCCUAUAUUGGCUAUCCGUUUAGAAUGAGGGAACUCCCUAUAUUGGCCACCCAUUUAGAAUGGAUGGACUGCCUCCAGUGGCUGCCCAUUCGGCAUGAAUGGACUGCCUCCAUUGGUCUACCGUUCGUAAUGAGAGGACUGCUUCCGUUGGCCACCCUCUCGAAAUGAGUGGACUGCCCCUGUUGGCCACCCGUUCGUAAUGAGUGGACUGCCACUGUUGGCCACCCGUUCGAAAUGAGUGGACUGCCUCCGUUGGCCACCCUUUCAGAAUGAGUGGACUGCCCCCAUUGGCCACCCCUUCGGAAUGAGUGGACUGCCCCGUUGGCCACCCGUUCGGAAUGAGUGGACUGCCCCCCGUUGGCCACCUGUUUGGAAUGAGUGGACGCCCCUAUUGGCCACCCGUUCGGAAUGAGUGGACUGCCUCCGUUGGACGCCCAUUCCUACUAGGUGGACUGUCUUCACUGACCACCCAUUCCUAAUGAGCAGAUUGCCUCUGUUGGCCACCCUUUCAGAAUGAGCAGAUUGCCUCCAUUAGCCGCUUGUUCAAAAUAAGUAGACUGCCUUCCUCAGCCGCCCUUUCGGAACGAGUGGACUUCUUCGGUUGGCUGCCCAUUCAUAAUGAGUAGACUGCCUUCGUCAGCUGCCCUUUCGCAAUGAGUGGGCCUCCUCUCCUCUGUUGGCUCUUCCUUCAGAAUUAGUGGAUCUCCUCUCCCCUGUUAGUCCUCCUUUCAGAAUACGUGGACCGCCUUCGUUGGCUGCCUGUUCAGAAUGAGUGGACCUCCUCUCCUCUGUUAGUCCUCCUUUCAGAAUGAGUGGACCGCCUUCGUUGGCUGCCUGUUUGGAAUGAGCAGACUCCUCUGUUGGCCACCCAUCCCAAGUAUACUACCCUCGUCGGCCACCCAUUCCUAAUGAAUGGACUGCUUUAAUGCAUAUUAACACACACCACAGCUUGCAUUAACACUCCACAACAGAUUGCUUAAGUAUGAAUGUGCCCUUAAACUCCAUGUGUUACUGAGGGAAUCUAUCACAUGCCAUCCGAUUAGCUGUAAGUCACAGUGGCCACCUAUAGAGUCACCUCUCUGCUCUGGACUGCAGAACAGAAUUGCUUUUAACUUAAUGACCAUUUGCAGCUGGUGUGUUUUUUUGACUCGUUACCAUAAUAGUAUGUUGGGGUAACCAAUAUCUGAAGAGUAUGGGUGUCAAAGUAACAGGUAGCUGGCUACCACAUACUUUAUAGCCAACGCCGGCCACAAAGAUGUAAAUUUAAUAUAUGAUAUAUGACAUAGUAUGCAAAGCUGUGACUAUCUGCUGAGCAGAAGCGUUAGAUAUUAAAGCCGUCCUGUCACCUACAUACAGUUCAGUCAACAUUUAGCAAGGUGAGCCAAUGUUCGGAGAAGGCAGCCAAUCAGUUCACUAGGAGCUAGUGACAUCAGAGAGGCAGCCAUUUUAUCAGACAGGCCCAUAGGCCACAGUGGACGUUCCUUUGCAGAACAUUGGCCAAUACAGUUCAGAAUGCAAUGUUGCACUGGCCUUUGGUGGGUCUCAAACCAAGAGUCAACGCCAUAGGAUUUCAGAGAAUAUGGACUCUUUGCAGUCAGAUCAUGGAUCUGGGAUUUAGCCAGCUGUAGCGAUGAAACCAUUUGCAGUUCAAUAUACUCUAGGUAUCUACCACUAUGAAAAUUGUAUCACCCUCGCUGUUCACCUGCCGUGGGAGAUCCAAGCGUGAAAUUCAGAACCAAACCCUUAAGCGCCUCUGAUGGUAGAGGGGGCCCUCCCACACUCCCUAUGAGAAGUGGAAGAUGCACACUGUAUGUAGAUGUAUAUAAGUGAAAUCUUGUUCCAAUUGGGUUCAUAUGUUCUAUUGUGAAAUGUUUCAUUUGUAAUAAAAUAUAUUUAAACUGUU